RNAcentral lists this ribosomal RNA (587 nucleotides) under uncultured bacterium. RNAcentral's name for it is "bacterial SSU rRNA". It matches the Rfam family "Bacterial small subunit ribosomal RNA", at positions 338 to 917 of the family's 1533-position model. The record is from RNAcentral.
CCUACGGGAGGCAGCAGUGGGGAAUAUUGCACAAUGGGGGAAACCCUGAUGCAGCCAUGCCGCGUGUGUGAAGAAGGCCUUCGGGUUGUAAAGCACUUUCAGUUGUGAGGAAAAGUUAGUAGUUGAUACCUGCUAGCCGUAACGUUAACAACAGAAGAAGCACCGGCUAACUCCGUGCCAGCAGCCGCGGUAAUACGGAGGGUGCGAGCGUUAAUCGGAAUUACUGGGCGUAAAGCGCACGCAGGCGGUUUGUUAAGCUAGAUGUGAAAGCCCCGGGCUCAACCUGGGAUGGUCAUUUAGAACUGGCAGACUAGAGUCUUGGAGAGGGGAGUGGAAUUCCAGGUGUAGCGGUGAAAUGCGUAGAUAUCUGGAGGAACAUCAGUGGCGAAGGCGACUCCCUGGCCAAAGACUGACGCUCAUGUGCGAAAGUGUGGGUAGCGAACAGGAUUAGAUACCCUGGUAGUCCACACCGUAAACGCUGUCUACUAGCUGUGUGUGCCUUUAAGGCGUGCGUAGCGAAGCUAACGCGCUAAGUAGACCGCCUGGGGAGUACGGCCGCAAGGUUAAAACUCAAAUGAAUUGACGGA